This 497-nucleotide ribosomal RNA is filed under the name uncultured bacterium. RNAcentral describes it as "partial 16S ribosomal RNA". It matches the Rfam family "Bacterial small subunit ribosomal RNA", at positions 28 to 507 of the family's 1533-position model. The record is from RNAcentral.
GAUGAACGCUGGCGGCGUGCCUAAUACAUGCAAGUCGAGCGAACAGACGAGGAGCUUGCUCCUCUGACGUUAGCGGCGGACGGGUGAGUAACACGUGGAUAACCUACCUAUAAGACUGGGAUAACUUCGGGAAACCGGAGCUAAUACCGGAUAAUAUAUUGAACCGCAUGGUUCGAUAGUGAAAGACGGUUUUGCUGUCACUUAUCGAUGGAUCCGCGCCGCAUUAGCUAGUUGGUAAGGUAACGGCUUACCAAGGCAACGAUGCGUAGCCGACCUGAGAGGGUGAUCGGCCACACUGGAACUGAGACACGGUCCAGACUCCUACGGGAGGCAGCAGUAGGGAAUCUUCCGCAAUGGGCGAAAGCCUGACGGAGCAACGCCGCGUGAGUGAUGAAGGUCUUCGGAUCGUAAAACUCUGUUAUUAGGGAAGAACAAAUGUGUAAGUAACUAUGCACGUCUUGACGGUACCUAAUCAGAAAGCCACGGCUAACUACGUG